GGCACGUGAUGCUGUUCUCUCACGAUGGUCUGCCGAGCCCCGGGCCGGGGCUCUGACGACAGCGCCAACGGCUUUGCUGAUGCCAAAGG
Molecule: small nucleolar RNA, 89 nt
Filed under: Otus sunia (Oriental scops-owl)
Lineage: Eukaryota; Metazoa; Chordata; Aves; Strigiformes; Strigidae
Description: Small nucleolar RNA SNORD35 (ENSOSUG00000011182.1)
Rfam family: Small nucleolar RNA SNORD35
About the family: U35 is a C/D box snoRNA located in intron 6 of ribosomal protein L13A and intron 3 of ribosomal protein S11 in humans and at homologous positions in mouse and chicken ribosomal protein genes. U35 guides the methylation of 2'-O-ribose sites in 28S rRNA.
Source: Rfam by way of RNAcentral